UACGUAGGGUGCAAGCGUUGUCCGGAAUUAUUGGGCGUAAAGAGCUCGUAGGUGGCCUGUCGCGUCGGCUGUGAAAACUCGGGGCUCAACUCCGAGCUUGCAGUCGAUACGGGCAGGCUAGAGUUCGGCAGGGGAGACUGGAAUUCCUGGUGUAGCGGUGAAAUGCGCAGAUAUCAGGAGGAACACCGGUGGCGAAGGCGGGUCUCUGGGCCGAUACUGACACUGAGGAGCGAAAGCGUGGGGAGCAAACAGG
This 253-nucleotide ribosomal RNA is filed under the name uncultured bacterium. RNAcentral describes it as "partial 16S ribosomal RNA". It matches the Rfam family "Bacterial small subunit ribosomal RNA", at positions 524 to 776 of the family's 1533-position model. The record is from RNAcentral.